This 2598-nucleotide ribosomal RNA is filed under the name Citrobacter freundii. RNAcentral's name for it is "partial 23S ribosomal RNA". It matches the Rfam family "Bacterial large subunit ribosomal RNA", at positions 178 to 2797 of the family's 2925-position model. Lineage: Bacteria; Pseudomonadati; Pseudomonadota; Gammaproteobacteria; Enterobacterales; Enterobacteriaceae. The record is from RNAcentral.
AGCGAACCGGGGGAACUGAAACAUCUAAGUACCCCGAGGAAAAGAAAUCAACCGAGAUUCCCCCAGUAGCGGCGAGCGAACGGGGAGCAGCCCAGAGUCUGAAUCAGCUUGUGUGUUAGUGGAACGGUCUGGAAAGUCCGACGGUACAGGGUGAUAGUCCCGUACACCAAAAUGCACAGGUUGUGAACUCGAAGAGUAGGGCGGGACACGUGGUAUCCUGUCUGAAUAUGGGGGGACCAUCCUCCAAGGCUAAAUACUCCUGACUGACCGAUAGUGAACCAGUACCGUGAGGGAAAGGCGAAAAGAACCCCGGCGAGGGGAGUGAAAAAGAACCUGAAACCGUGUACGUACAAGCAGUGGGAGCCUCUUUAUGGGGUGACUGCGUACCUUUUGUAUAAUGGGUCAGCGACUUAUAUUCUGUAGCAAGGUUAACCGUAUAGGGGAGCCGAAGGGAAACCGAGUCUUAACUGGGCGUUAAGUUGCAGGGUAUAGACCCGAAACCCGGUGAUCUAGCCAUGGGCAGGUUGAAGGUUGGGUAACACUAACUGGAGGACCGAACCGACUAAUGUUGAAAAAUUAGCGGAUGACUUGUGGCUGGGGGUGAAAGGCCAAUCAAACCGGGAGAUAGCUGGUUCUCCCCGAAAGCUAUUUAGGUAGCGCCUCGUGAACUCAUCUUCGGGGGUAGAGCACUGUUUCGGCUAGGGGGUCAUCCCGACUUACCAACCCGAUGCAAACUGCGAAUACCGAAGAAUGUUAUCACGGGAGACACACGGCGGGUGCUAACGUCCGUCGUGAAGAGGGAAACAACCCAGACCGCCAGCUAAGGUCCCAAAGUCAUGGUUAAGUGGGAAACGAUGUGGGAAGGCACAGACAGCCAGGAUGUUGGCUUAGAAGCAGCCAUCAUUUAAAGAAAGCGUAAUAGCUCACUGGUCGAGUCGGCCUGCGCGGAAGAUGUAACGGGGCUAAACCAUGCACCGAAGCUGCGGCAGCGACACUAUGUGUUGUUGGGUAGGGGAGCGUUCUGUAAGCCGUUGAAGGUGUGCUGUGAGGCAUGCUGGAGGUAUCAGAAGUGCGAAUGCUGACAUAAGUAACGAUAAUGCGGGUGAAAAACCCGCACGCCGGAAGACCAAGGGUUCCUGUCCAACGUUAAUCGGGGCAGGGUGAGUCGACCCCUAAGGCGAGGCCGAAAGGCGUAGUCGAUGGGAAACAGGUUAAUAUUCCUGUACUUGGUGUUACUGCGAAGGGGGGACGGAGAAGGCUAUGUUAGCCGGGCGACGGUUGUCCCGGUUUAAGCAUGUAGGCGGAGGUUCCAGGUAAAUCCGGUACCUUUUUAACGCUGAGGUGUGAUGACGAGGCACUACGGUGCUGAAGUAACAAAUGCCCUGCUUCCAGGAAAAGCCUCUAAGCAUCAGGUAACACGAAAUCGUACCCCAAACCGACACAGGUGGUCAGGUAGAGAAUACCAAGGCGCUUGAGAGAACUCGGGUGAAGGAACUAGGCAAAAUGGUGCCGUAACUUCGGGAGAAGGCACGCUGAUAUGUAGGUGAAGCGGUUUACCCGUGGAGCUGAAAUCAGUCGAAGAUACCAGCUGGCUGCAACUGUUUAUUAAAAACACAGCACUGUGCAAACACGAAAGUGGACGUAUACGGUGUGACGCCUGCCCGGUGCCGGAAGGUUAAUUGAUGGGGUUAUCCGUAAGGAGAAGCUCUUGAUCGAAGCCCCGGUAAACGGCGGCCGUAACUAUAACGGUCCUAAGGUAGCGAAAUUCCUUGUCGGGUAAGUUCCGACCUGCACGAAUGGCGUAAUGAUGGCCAGGCUGUCUCCACCCGAGACUCAGUGAAAUUGAACUCGCUGUGAAGAUGCAGUGUACCCGCGGCAAGACGGAAAGACCCCGUGAACCUUUACUAUAGCUUGACACUGAACACUGGUCCUUGAUGUGUAGGAUAGGUGGGAGGCUUUGAAGUGUGGACGCCAGUCUGCAUGGAGCCAUCCUUGAAAUACCACCCUUUAAUGGCUGGUGUUCUAACGUGGACCCGUUACCCGGGUUGCGGACAGUGUCUGGUGGGUAGUUUGACUGGGGCGGUCUCCUCCUAAAGAGUAACGGAGGAGCACGAAGGUUAGCUAAUCCUGGUCGGACAUCAGGAGGUUAGUGCAAAGGCAUAAGCUAGCUUGACUGCGAGAGUGACGGCUCGAGCAGGUGCGAAAGCAGGUCUUAGUGAUCCGGUGGUUCUGAAUGGAAGGGCCAUCGCUCAACGGAUAAAAGGUACUCCGGGGAUAACAGGCUGAUACCGCCCAAGAGUUCAUAUCGACGGCGGUGUUUGGCACCUCGAUGUCGGCUCAUCACAUCCUGGGGCUGAAGUAGGUCCCAAGGGUAUGGCUGUUCGCCAUUUAAAGUGGUACGCGAGCUGGGUUUAGAACGUCGUGAGACAGUUCGGUCCCUAUCUGCCGUGGGCGCUGGAGAAUUGAGGGGGGCUGCUCCUAGUACGAGAGGACCGGAGUGGACGCAUCACUGGUGUUCGGGUUGUCAUGCCAAUGGCAUUGCCCGGUAGCUAAAUGCGGAAGAGAUAAGUGCUGAAAGCAUCUAAGCACGAAACUUGC